RNAcentral lists this ribosomal RNA (489 nucleotides) under marine sediment bacterium ISA-7233. Its description in RNAcentral is "bacterial SSU rRNA". It matches the Rfam family "Bacterial small subunit ribosomal RNA", at positions 37 to 497 of the family's 1533-position model. The record is from RNAcentral.
UGGCGGCGUGCCUAAUACAUGCAAGUCGAGCGCAGGAAACUGACGGAACUCUUCGGAGGGAAGGCAGUGGAAUGAGCGGCGGACGGGUGAGUAACACGUAAGGAACCUGCCUCAAGGAUUGGGAUAACUCCGAGAAAUCGGAGCUAAUACCGGAUAGUUCAACGGACCGCAUGGUCCGCUGAUGAAAGGCGCUCCGGCGUCACCUUGAGAUGGCCUUGCGGUGCAUUAGCUAGUUGGUGGGGUAACGGCCCACCAAGGCGACGAUGCAUAGCCGACCUGAGAGGGUGAUCGGCCACACUGGGACUGAGACACGGCCCAGACUCCUACGGGAGGCAGCAGUAGGGAAUCUUCCACAAUGGACGAAAGUCUGAUGGAGCAACGCCGCGUGAGUGAUGAAGGUUUUCGGAUCGUAAAACUCUGUUGUAAGGGAAGAACACGUACGAGAGGAAAUGCUCGUACCUUGACGGUACCUUACGAGAAAGCCACGGC